AACUGCUUGGGAAACUGAUAGUCUAGAGUGAGGGAGAGGCAGAUGGAAUUGGUGGUGUAGGGGUAAAAUCCGUAGAUAUCACCAAGAAUACCCAUUGCGAAGGCGAUCUGCUGGAACUCAACUGACGCUAAGGCGCGAAAGCGUGGGGAGCAAACAGGAUUAGAUACCCUGGUAGUCCACGCCCUAAACGAUGUACACUAGUUGUUGGGAUGCUAGUCAUCUCAGUAAUGCAGCUAACGCAUUAAGUGUACCGCCUGGGGAGUACGGUCGCAAGAUUAAAACUCAAAGGAAUAGACGGGGACCCGCACAAGCGGUGGAGCAUGUGGUUUAAUUCGAAGAUACGCGAAGAACCUUACCUGGGCUUGAUAUCCUAAGAACCUUAUAGAGAUAUGAGGGUGCUAGCUUGCUAGAACUUAGAGACAGGUGCUGCACGGCUGUCGUCAGCUCGUGUCGUGAGAUGUUGGGUUAAGUCCCGCAACGAGCGCAACCCACGUAUUUAGUUGCUAACGGUUCGGCCGAGCACUCUAAAUAGACUGCCUUCGUAAGGAGGAGGAAGGUGUGGACGACGUCAAGUCAUCAUGGCCCUUAUGCCCAGGGCGACACACGUGCUACAAUGGCAUAUACAAUGAGACGCAAUACCGCGAGGUGGAGCAAAUCUAUAAAAUAUGUCCCAGUUCGGAUUGUUCUCUGCAACUCGAGAGCAUGAAGCCGGAAUCGCUAGUAAUCGUAGAUCAGCCAUGCUACGGUGAAUACGUUCCCGGGUCUUGUACUCACCGCCCGUCACACCAUGGGAGUUGAUUUCACUCGAAGCCGGAAUACUAA
This 822-nucleotide ribosomal RNA is filed under the name Campylobacter jejuni. RNAcentral describes it as "bacterial SSU rRNA". It matches the Rfam family "Bacterial small subunit ribosomal RNA", at positions 619 to 1438 of the family's 1533-position model. Lineage: Bacteria; Pseudomonadati; Campylobacterota; Epsilonproteobacteria; Campylobacterales; Campylobacteraceae. The record is from RNAcentral.